UCUGCUGCCUUUGUAGACUUGAUAGAUAACUAAUGCCAUUUAGUCCACUGUGUAGUCAGACCGACUUCCCAUGUUCCCCUCCCAGUCCUCUUUUCAUCUUCACUCUAUUUCAGACUUUCCCCACCAGUGGUCUUAGAGAAUGACUUUUUUUUUUUUUUUUUUUUUACAGAGAUCACUGAAGCCAGAAAUCCUCAGUUCCCACAGUCCCUGACCUCCUGACGCUCCCCUUCCCACCAUUUACACUGAUGUUUCCCUUCCUUCUCUUCCAGGACAGUGGAAGAGAUGCUCUUCCUUCAGUCAAGGGCAUCUCCUGUAAAAUACCCUUUUGUUCUUGUGUGUUUUCAAACAUUCUCUCCUGGUUCCUUCAGAUCUCUGCCAACUUGAGCUCUAUAUCCCAUGCCCCUCUCCCGCUGCUACCCUCUCUCUACCCAGCUUCCAGCUCCCCUGUCCCCCAAAGCCAAACUUCCUUAAGUGCCACCAUCAUUUUUUUCUCACCAUUUUCUUAUUCUUUACCUCACUGUGUGUGACUUUUUCCCAACUAUAAUGGGGUUGAAAUGACUUUAACCAAGGUCACGAUGCCAAGUCAUUGUUUACUAUUUUUGACUUCUUGACUUUUACCCUGUUGACACUUGGUCCCCUCUGAAGCUGUCUCUUCUAUGGCAUUAAACUUUUGAAGUUUCCUUUGCCUCUCUGAAUGCUUCCUUGACAAUAUCUCUGUCUGUCCUUAUUCAAGACUGUUCCUCAGAGCCAUUCAGUCCCUGCUGCCUCCUUUAGCAUAAAAGAGUAGGUUUUAUUCAAGUGAGAAGAAAAGAGAUGGAGCUCCCACAAGAUGAGAAGGGAUCCAAAAGGGGUUGCCCCCUCAGUUUCUCCUUGCUGUAUACUCUCUUCCCAGGUGGUCUCACUCCCUCUUAUGGCUUCAAUUAUCAACAACUCUUGGGGUUUUUGUUUGUUUGUUUGUUUGUUUUUGCAGUAUUGGGGAUUGAACCUAGAGCCUCAUACAUGAUAGGUAAGUGCUCUACUACUGAGCUACAGCCCCAGCCCAGCUCUUGAAUCUUUUGUGUUGAUCUCUUCUCUGAGCUUCAGGCUCAUAUUACCACUGUCUCAAGUGGAUGUCAUAAAAUCAGUUUGUCAAAAAUACAGCUCAUUGUUUUCCUUUAAAAUGCAUUUGCUUUUUUAAGGUUUACCUCUAGCAUUUUCAGGGCCAUGGGCAGGAGCACAAGUGGAAGCCUACAUAUCACAUUUGGAGUAGUUGAAAGCACUCAAGCUAAAUAAAUUAUGUUAUGGUUUCUUACUCAGACACAUAAACUUUUCUAACAACCCAGAAGGUCAUAUUUGAAUUUAGAAUUCUUGUGCUUUCUGGAGUGCUGGGCCAGGAUGUGGUAGCUUAGGGAAAGCUGACUCCCUGACCCCAACCCUCAUUCUGCACUUCUCUUCCCUUCUGGGUUUGGCCCUACAGUACAAAGGGCCAUAUGCUUUUGAACACCCAAAGUCCCUGUGUCCAAGCUCUGCUCAUACCUCCCAAGCUGCAUUUCCUUCUCUGUUACUCUUGAAUGGGGUUGAAUCAGAAUCCUGAACCAGAGCACAAGGGAGAAGAAGGGUUGACCCAGAAAGAGGAAUUGAAGAUUGAGUUCAUGAAAGCGAAUCAAGAAAAAGAUUCAUGACCCCAUGAAAAAGGUUCAUCAUGGGAAUGGGUUUGGGAACCAGGCAGGGUAAGGAAGUGGCUAGAGGAAGAUGCCCUGAGGCAAUUAUAAGGAUCUGUCUUGGCUGGAUCUAGGGAUGGCAAGUUCUGCAUUCUCAGCAAGUGACAGCAUACAUUAUCGAGUCAUCUUAGCUGGGAAAGCAACAAACUCUGGAUGCUCUCUUUAUCCUCCCUCAAAUCCAAGCAGUUAGGUUUUCUGUUUUCUUAAUAACUUGAAUGGAUUUCUCUUCAUCUUGAAGUUCAUGCUAUCAUCUCCCACCUAAGUGAUUGCAACAGCCCGAGUCUAACCUGUCUCCUUGCCUUGGUCUUGUUUCCCUAGAAUCCAUUUCUCCAUAGCAACUGGAAUGAUCUUUCUGAGUACAAAUGUGAUUACUCCAUUAGAAAGCACAAGUUUCUGCUUAUUGCCUUUAGGAGAAAGUCCGAGCUCUUUAGCAUGUCAUUCACAGUAUUUGGUGAUCUGACCCCUGCUCACCUCUCUAACUGCAUUGUUCAGCUCUUCCUGGUUCCUAACACAUAUAAAAUACCAUGCACAUACUCCCCAAAAUGAACAGCCAUAUAAAUUCACAUAAACAAUACACAUUCACACUAUCAGAGAUGAGGCAUAUAUGAACUUGAACGCCCACACCACAUACAUUCCCACACUGUAAUACAGUAGCUCACAAAUAUACACGCUUAUAACCCUGUGCGUGUAUGCAUUCACAACAUACUCUGAAAGCUCACACACCACAUUCUGUCACGUUCUCCUGCAUAUUUUCCACACACAUUCAUACACACUCACAUAUUCACACCCUGUACACCUCAGUCACUCAUACACCCACACCACAAAACUUAAGUACCACAUACUCUCAGACCAUGCAUGCUUACACGGUCGGACCUUUAACCAUACUCAUCUAGUUCUUAUUCCUGCAACCUCUAGCACCAGGCCUUUUUUCAAGCUGGUCUUUCUUCUGGAAUGCUUCUUUCUGGGUUGCUUUCCUGCAGAAAGCCUUUCCUGAACCCGAAGCUUGGAAGAUCUGAAGGAUUCCCUUUAGAAUCAAACCUAAGGCUUACUUGUUUAGUCUGGAAGUAAGAAACUAGAGUUUAGCUUCUUAAACUGAGGUUUCUUAAAUGUACUUCUCCCAAGCAUAUAAUUUUUGUCACCCUGUCUGUUGUCUCAUAGUCCUUAAUGGUACAAAAUUUAAAACAGGAGGGGUCUGGGUAGGGUGGUCCCUAUAGAAAUGAAAUUCCAGCUGGAUGGCAGGGAACCCAGUGGUAGGAGGAAGGGGAGUAAGACUGCAGGGAAGUGACCGCAGACCUGCAGGGCUUUUGUGUCUUGAUGCACUUGCCCAGCUUUUCAGAAGUGUGUCUAGUUUGGAGUGAGUCAAGUUCUAGGGAUUUGUUUAGCCUGCAGGAUCCUCCGAGGGGAUCUUUACUUCCAGUGGAGUGUUGAAGCUGUGCAGUGGGUAGGCUGGCAGCGUCUGAAGUACAGGGAUUGAGGUGAAUCAGGGCGGGGGUUGAAUGACCCAGCUUGGGAACUCAGGAAGAGGGCCUCAGAGGAGGGUUAUUAGUCUCAAAUGUCAUGCAGAGGUGGAGAAGGAUGUGGCACCUAGGAGGCCACCCACAGCCUUUCUAGAACAGCAGCAUUUGGAGUCUGUUGCCAAAUUGUACAGGCUUAAAUAGGCAGAGAACAGAAAUCAAAGUCCUCCUCUCAGGGAAGGAGGAAGAGUUCAUGUCUGCUGAUGAACAGAGGAGAGUGCCAGGUAGGGAGGGCAAGGUACAGUCCCAGGACAGAGCAAAGGUCACUGCACGGGUGAGUGGGCUCUGAGUGCAUGUGGAAAUUCUACAUUGGACAGGAAGGAACACAGCUUCCUCCAGGACAGGAAGGAUAUUGUAGGGAGGGAAGUGAAUGUAACAACCACCAGUGUUUUAUCAUCUGCUUCCACCUUGGUAACCUCUAGCAACACAGGCUGUUAGCCACAGACUCCUAUGGCCACCCCCCAUCACCACCACCAAAUUCUCCCUCUGGUAUCUUCAGUGCUAAGCAUUUUUUGCUCAUAGCUUUCCAUUCUUUGAGCUCUCCCUCCUCCAUGUCACCACACUCAGUUCUGUGGCCUCUAUUGCCUCCUGGCCUCUGAGUACCCGCCACCCCCACCACAGUCUCCACAUAGGCCUAGCCCAUGGAGCAUCCCUUCAGUUGCUUUGCUGCGAACACCUGCACCUUCUUCACUUGCUCUUCUGUCUCACCCUCCUCUGUACAUUUCCAGCCCCAUGCUAAUAGGCACCACCCUCAGGCUUCAGUCCUGUUUCCUCUCCAAAGCUUCUACAUGUGGGUUGUUAGGUGCUUCCUGGCCAUUUCUAACGGGAGAGUAAUGGGGUGCUAAUGAUGAGGGUUGGGGUAGGCUAAGGGCUAGAGUUGGGGGUCAAGGGUGGGAAGGCCGAGGGUUCAUUACAUACUGGACCCAGCAGGCUAGCACAGUUGGAUUCCAGAGCUGGGAAAUUCAUGUCUUGCAGUGCUGCUUGGAAGUUUGGUUGAGGGAAGGAGUGCCUACUCUUCAGUGAGUAGAAUGGGGACCUAGUUUUGCCUUUUCAUUUCUAUGGUCCUGUGUGCUCACACUCCCUUCCUUCACUUAGUAGGGCCAAUGUCCCCAAGUUUGUUACUAUCUGUGCCUUCCCUCCAUAGUUUCCUGAGACCCCAAGCACACUGAGUCUCUCCUCACUCAGCAGCCUCACCAUUUCCUUCCCACUGUCCUUGGACCCAGGCCUCUUAUAGUUACCCUGGCGUUGAGAAGGACUUGCUGCCAUCUCUCCGAGCCCACUGGUGAGCCCACUGAUGUUAAGGCCGCCUGCCUGAGUCUUGAUUGCAGACUUGAGCUCCUGAUUCUCCCGAAUGAGCCGCACAAGCUUCUUCAGUUCCUCAUUCUCCCGCACCAGCCUCUCUAUCUGAUGCCGAAGCCCCUCAUAAUUGGUGAGUAGAGACAUGCCCCAGGGCAGCAGGGAGGGUGCUGCCCACAGGAGGGCACUGCACCUGGAGGCUGCCCAGGGCCCCGGGCCUUGCCCGGGCUGGAAGAGGGUGCCAGAGUCUGCAAGGCUGGCCCAGCGGGCCCUGGGUAUUGUGAGGUCAGAGGUUGUGCUCUCCUCCUGUCCUCUACUCUAACAGGCUCAGCUUUCCGUGCUGCCAGGCCUGUGAACGGCCCUACCUUGACCUGGAAUGUCCUGACUCCUUCUUUUUGGCAGCUUCACUCUCAAGAUGCCUCCUCUGCAAAGCCUUCUUUCCCCCACUGCAAGCUAAUUGCUGCCUGCUGGGCUUCCCCAGCAGAUGUGUCCUGUAUCAUAGCACCUGCCCUGCUUCUGUGCUGUUAGCUCCUUAAUGCUAUAUUUACUGGCUUUAUGGUGUGAACAGGGAUUGUGCCACUCCUCUGGAGUCCCCAGCAUCCAGCAAAGGGCCCAGCUUAGUGUAGGUAGAUAACCAAUGAAUGUAAAAUGAAAACUCAUCACCUUGCCUUCCUGGGCAGAUGACCUUUCUUUAUGAUCUUGGGCAUGCCUGGAUUUAGCCCAUCAGCCUCUACCUGAGAAUGCUCUGCCUUGGAUGCCUGGACAUUGGCCCAUAGUUUCUUCUGUCCCCAGGUGCUCAGAACCCUUCUCUGGAUGCUGGCCUAGGGGCUCCCUCAUCCAAGUAACUGGCUCCCUACAGCUUGGUGUUUCCAUUUCUGGACUCUUAUCCCAAAUCCCUGGAGGUAAUUCCUCCACAUCUGACUCUCUGCUCCCCAGCUCCUUGAAUUUUCCUGACUUUAGUUGUUUAAGAACCCAAGACCCCUAAACGCAGUGCACAUGCCUGUAAUCCCAGAGGCUCAGGAGGCUGAGGCAGGAGGAUCAUGAGUUUAAAGCCAGCUUCAGCAAUUUAGUGAGGCCUUAAGCAACUCAGUGAGACUCUGUCGCUAAAUAAAAUACAAAAAAGGGCUGGGAUGUGACUCAGUGGUUAACAGCCCCUCAGUUCAAUUGGUGCUACCCAACCCCCCCAAAACAAAACAAAACAGAACAGUAUUACUUACCUGGUUUCAAGAACUCAGGACUCUGAGCCCUCCUUAUAGCUAUCCCUUCUCUUAGAACUAUCUACAGAGAGCUCCACGAAUCUGACCUUGGGAGUUGAGGGAGGGUGUGUCUUCAUGAUCUCCACUGGCUCUAUGGGUGUCUUUUGACAAACCUCUUCAUGGGGCAGGAAGAGGUACAGGCACAGGCCAGUGAGCAGGCUCCUGGAACGUCGUGGAAGUGAAGAAGCGGGAGAUGAAGCUGUGCUGCCAUCAGUGUGAGUUGAGCAUUCUACCUGAACCUCACAAUGGGGGGGGCCCUACCCCGUACUCUGAUACUCCUGAGUGUAAUUCCAGCUGAGUCUCUCUGACCCCAGGCAUUCUUUUCCUUCUUUCUAACUUGAUAGAGUAUCUCUGGUCAUGAAAAUUGGCUUCUCCUUAGGCUGAUACAGUUUAUAAUGGUUUCAUGAGUGUCAGUUUGGGUAGGCUGUGUGCUCAGGUGUUUAGUCAAAUGCUAGUUUAGACAUUUUAUAAAGGUGUUUUGCAGAUGUAAUUAACAUCUACAAAAUGUUAGCUUUAAGUAAAGGUUACUUUCAAUUGUAUGGGUGGACCUCGUCCAAUCAGUUGAAGGACUUAAAAGCAAAAGUUUUAAGCCCAGAAAUAAAGAGUUCUAUCUUGGGCUGGGGUUGUAGCUCAGUGGUGGAGCAAUUGCCUCGUGUGUGUGUGAGGUACUGGGUUCAAUCCUCAGCACCACAUUAAAAAAAACUAAAUAAAAACAAAUAAAGAUAUUGUGUCUAUCUACAACUAAAAAAAGAGUUCUAUCUUGAGAUGUUUCCAGUCUGCCCUACAGAUUUUGGACUUUCCAACCUCCACUAUUGCAUGGACC
This 6589-nucleotide long non-coding RNA is filed under the name Marmota monax (woodchuck). The record is from RNAcentral. Lineage: Eukaryota; Metazoa; Chordata; Mammalia; Rodentia; Sciuridae.